Molecule: unclassified non-coding RNA, 391 nt
Filed under: uncultured bacterium
Lineage: Bacteria
Description: 16S-23S intergenic spacer
Source: RNAcentral
UCUAAGGAGAACUGUUUAAAGCUUAGGCUUUAAACGAACAUCCUAUUGGUCGAUUCUUUCUGAGGAUGAGGUUGAGAAACCAAGUUCCCAGUAAAGAUCAACAAAGAGUCUUAGGACUCAAGCCGAGGGAUCGGCAACUCAUUGGAACGAGCUGUUGUUUAGUUUUGAGAGACCAGGAAGAACCGAAGCAAUUCGGUGCAUAAUGGAACCUCACUCACAAAGGAUUGAGGGAAAGGCAGAAAUGCUUGACUAACAGUCCUAUAUUUUUGUCAAUGUUCGUAAGAACAUUCUGUUCUUUGAAAACUGCAUAGAGAAGAAGAUCUAGAAAAAGUCGAAAGAAUUCACCUUAAGACGCAAGUCUUAAGUAAAACCUAGAAGUAGAAGAUCAAUA